UUUGACCUGAGGCAUCACAGUUGUCUUGUGGUUAAGUCCUUGAUCUUUGAUUAUGUCAAAGUCACCCCAUCCGCGAGUGUCCACGGCAUCGUUGGGGUUAAGCCACUUAGCCAUGGAGGCAAGUGAAUGCGCAACAAGGGAUCUCUAACCUUCAAACCAUUUGGGGGAGAAUACUCUAUGAUAUGAUUUAGAAUCUCUGGCCAGAGUAUGAAUGAGAUUUAGGAAAG
RNAcentral lists this long non-coding RNA (227 nucleotides) under Malus domestica (apple). Its description in RNAcentral is "long non-coding RNA (MDOM_LNC005738)". Lineage: Eukaryota; Viridiplantae; Streptophyta; Magnoliopsida; Rosales; Rosaceae. The record is from RNAcentral.